UGCUCCAAGAGUUUAUAUAUGUGUUGCUGCAGUUGAAAAGCUCGUAGUUGGGGUUUUGAGAUGUUUUUGGGUGGUUCUGGUGGUUUGGGAUUCCGUCCCGGCGCCGGUUAAACACACGCACCCGCGUGUGGCCACCCCCAGACACUUUUUUCGUUCGAGUGGGGUGAGUCUUCUCACCUCCACUGUCGAACGCGUUACUUUGAGUAAAUCUGAGUGUUCAAAGCAGACGAACCUUUGUCGUCUUGAAAGUUGUAGCAUGGAAUAACGUGAUAGGACUCCGGUGGCCCUUUUCAGUUGGUCUAAGCCGUUCCGGAGUAAUGACUAAGAGGGACAGUCGGGGGCACUCGUACUUCCUUGUCAGAGGUGAAAUUCUUGGAUUUAGGAAAGACGAACCACUGCGAAAGCAUUUGCCAAGGAUGUUUUCA
Molecule: ribosomal RNA, 425 nt
Filed under: uncultured eukaryote
Lineage: Eukaryota
Description: SSU rRNA
Rfam family: Eukaryotic small subunit ribosomal RNA
Source: RNAcentral